This 573-nucleotide unclassified non-coding RNA is filed under the name Hevea brasiliensis (rubber tree). The record is from RNAcentral. Lineage: Eukaryota; Viridiplantae; Streptophyta; Magnoliopsida; Malpighiales; Euphorbiaceae.
GAAAUUUAGAAUUGUUCUCUGUAUUAUUCAUUGAUACAUAUUACACUACAGAUAAUCACAACCCACAUAAAUAAAGUGAGACAAUAACUCGACCAAAAUACCUUACUUACAGCUGAUUACUCAGCAGGCUUUGGUCCGAGAACUGUAGAAUUCGGCUUCGUAUGUAACUCACAAGCAAGCUUUUAUGACUCAUCAGGCUUUGGUUCGAGGAUAACUGGGAUUUUCUCUUUCUUAUCACCUCGCAAGACUUCUACAGUCACCGUGUCACCGACUUUACACUGAUCCAAGAUUCGGUACAAGUCACUCCCAUUUGUGACCUUUUUACCAUCAACAGAUGUAAUAAUAUCUCCUAAGAUGAGACGGCCAUACGGAUCACGUUUUGUUGGCUGGAGACCCGCUUUGCCUGCUGGGCCAUUUGGAGGAGCAUCUAAGACGAGCACCCCACUGACACCAAUCUGCUCAACUGACUGAUCUGGCGCGAACUUGAUCCCUAAAAUAGGCCUGGUCACUUUGCCAAAUCUCACAAGCUGGUCAACAAUACCACUGACUGUAUCAACUGGAAUCGAAAAUCCA